CAGACCUUUUUCGACCUCAAUUUUAGAACACGUUCCGCAAUUCCAACAUUCCGGGGCCCCCUCUGGGAAAGUUGGGCCCCCUUUCAAGUUGACUAUUUUGGCCUGAGAACUGUCUGAGUGUUCUAGAUGUAUCAUCCAGAAAUGGUUGGAUAAAUGUAAUUGAAAUUGGAUCAAAAGUAUAUGUCAGAUAACGCGUAACCACAAACAGCCAUACAAAAGAGAAGAAAUAUACCGGGGGAAAUCCCUACAUGUAGCUUAACACAAACAGGAGAG
Molecule: non-coding RNA, 273 nt
Organism: Paramuricea clavata
Lineage: Eukaryota; Metazoa; Cnidaria; Anthozoa; Malacalcyonacea; Plexauridae
Source: the annotation of a GenBank genome assembly